UUAGAACGUCGUGAGACAGUUCGGUCCCUAUCUGCCGUGGGCGUUGGAGAUUUGAGAAGAGCUGCUCCUAGUACGAGAGGACCGGAGUGGACGCACCUCUGGUGUUCCGGUUGUCACGCCAGUGGCAUUGCCGGGUAGCUAUGUGCGGACAGGAUAACCGCUGAAAGCAUCUAAGCGGGAAGCCCCCUUCAAGAUGAGAUCUCCCCGAGGCCUCGAGCCUCCUGAAGGGCCCAGCGAGACCAGCUGGUUGAUAGGCCGGAUGUGGAAGCGCUGCAAGGCGUUGAGCUAACCGGUACUAAUGGCCCGUGAGGCUUGACCAU
RNAcentral lists this ribosomal RNA (320 nucleotides) under Halomonas sp. LES1. RNAcentral describes it as "partial 23S ribosomal RNA". It matches the Rfam family "Bacterial large subunit ribosomal RNA", at positions 2611 to 2925 of the family's 2925-position model. Lineage: Bacteria; Pseudomonadati; Pseudomonadota; Gammaproteobacteria; Oceanospirillales; Halomonadaceae. The record is from RNAcentral.